GGAGGUUGAAGGUGGUUGGUGGUACACUGGUUGGUGAUGCUCCCUCUCUCUCUCUCUUCUCUCUCUCUUCAAGAAAUUUGUUUCAAGAGUAGUAGGUAGCUACGGACCAGCCAAACUUGCUCCUCCAUCUUCUCUUCAUAAGCCCAUUUCACUGGUCUCUUUUUACUCCUAUUUCAACUGAGGGUUGUUGGCUCACUUUGAUUGAUAGCUCAAAAAUGGCACUGGAAGUGGUCAAUCCACAUGAAGAGGUUGCUCUUGUUCAUGGAAUUUCCAUGGGUGGAGGUGCAUCUUUGAUGGUUCCAAUGAAGUUCUCAGUGGUCACAGAAAAGGCUCCGAGUUUUUUCCACUCCAGAAGCAAGUAUUGGGUUUCAUACUGAUUGUGGUUUCUCAUACAUGCUUUCUCAUCUUCCUGGGCAUUUGGGGGAAUUUUUUGCCUUGACAGGAGCGAGGCUGAAUGGUAAGGAAUUGGUUGCAAUUGGACUAGCAACCCAUUUUGUCCCUCUUGAGGUGAGUUUUCAACUCUCUUAUUCAAUUCAGUACCGCUACAUCCACACAAUUUUUACAAUUGAGACUCUUACCGGUAAAAGUUUCCAAAAGAGUCAUUCAGGCAAAUUCAGGCAAACAAAAUUGUGUGGAUGAAUCAUUAAUCUAUUCAAUUAUAGUAUUCUGCCAUUUAAUCAUGCAUGGGAACUUUGUUCUUGGUACCAAGGCAAGCUUAUAUGAAGUAUUAGACGGCUAUAGAUGCAAAAAUUAGUGUUGGUUUCAUAAUGAUAAUAAUAAUAAUAAUAAUGUCCCUAUCGGAUAAAUGUUUGUGAACUAUUUGCCUUGAAUAUGCAUUGUCUCCCUACAGCCUGUAACAGUAUUUAGUAUGACAACUAUAAAAGGAGCAUAACCUUUAACACUUGUACAAAAUUUAAUUGACUCGGCUGAAAAAUGGUUGUCUUGUGUAUGCGUACUAUGAUUAUUAUACACUGUUUGUGUUCUAACCAUAAAAUAUGAAGACGUAUCAAUUGGGCUUAGUGGAAUAUGCAUGGAGGCAUGUGAGUGUUCAAUUAGUGUUCAACAACAAUGUCAUGGGUGAAGACAGUGAUAUCGAAGAACUUGACAAGCAGCACAAAACGGCGGCCUUAAUUCUUACAACUAUGAAGUAUUUGGAACUAGACAACCGAAUUACUAAUGAUUUGAGCAUGAUGAAGAAAAAAGUUCUUGAUAAUUUUGGAGCCGACUAGGUGGCGAAAACACAAUACAAAAUUAAGAAAGUAGUGAUAAUGGAGAUGCGAUAAUGAAUCAUGAGCACGGGUGGCAAUUGAUGAAUUGACCCUUUCAAAAUUGCCACCGGUGAGGCUUCAUUUCACCAGAUGAUUGGAGUUAAUUUAGUUCACUAAAGGACAAAAUAAACUAAAAAAUUAAUAAGAUAAAAUGUCACAUCCAAAUUAUAAUCAUUUUACUUUUUUCUUACAAAAUUACAAAAAAAAGUAAUAAAUUCAUCCUAAAACAGAAUUUUUUUAGCCAGACCAAAAUAAUUAAAAAGUCAAAAGUCAAAUUAAAAACGUUCUUCCCAGACGAAGGCUCAAUACAUCCUGUUUGACCGCCAGCUUUUUAUUUAAAAAAAUUAAAAUAUCACAUCAUACACAUCAUUCUAUCACUUUUUUUUCCUCACAACUAUUUAUUUAACUAAAAAAUUAAUUCCAAACACACUACCCUUUUUACCUCAUAAAAAAGCCAAUGAAUUAAAAAAUCACUAAAAAGAGUGAAGUUAUCAAAGGAGUAGUGAAAGGAAACAACCAAAAAGGUUUUUUUUGAGGACAUAGGAAACUUUAUAUUAAUAAAAACAAUAACAGUACAUAAACAAGAUCCCAAAGAGCCAUCCUAACCAAACAACAAAACAAACAAACAAACAAACAAAAAACAAAUCCGCCAAAAAAAAAAAAGCUGUAACCAAAGAAGGUUACAAAUAUUAAAUCCAAGAAAAUCCUAUGGUCCUCACCCCUCAAACGGUGUGUACCACCAUAUGCAACCGAUCAUAAAUUGACAUAAUUUUGUCACAAAAUUUUGUAUCAAUCACAAAAUAUAUAAUCUCACCACAAAUUAACAUAAUAAAAAAAUAUCAUAAUUAAGCCACAAAUUUUUGUUACAUGAACCACAAAAUUUUGAGCAUUUUUAAUGUUAAUUUGUAGCGAAAUUACACAUUUUAUGAUAAAAUUACGUCAAUUGUGGCAGGGUACAUAUGGUGCAUACCCUUGGAGGGUGUGUGCCAUUGGUUUCCAAUAAAUCCAUCCCUAAUUAAUCCUCACACAAAAACCAUAAAAAGCAAGUGGGCAAAUUUUACCUAAUUUCCCCUUGAUUUCAAUUUGAUCCUUAUUAUUUCAAAUGCAAUACAUUUGUCCUUUAAUUUUUGAUCUUGUGUUAAAUUGAUCCAAUUUUUAACAAUUGAUCCAUUUUUUAACAGAAAAUUGUUACUCACAUCCAAGCUAACUGAACAAACACCUAUUCAGCAAGAGCAAGCAGCUGCCAACACAGUUGAAACUUUUUCAAAAAAAGAAAAGAGGGAAGAUAAGUAAAUGGUUCAUCUGCAAUAGUAAAAACAUUUCUUAAACUUAUUAAAAUCAUUUUUUUAACUCAUUCAAGAGCGUCUGAUUGAGUUAAGAAAGGGAAUUCCCCAACAAUUCCUCAUCAGAAAGCUGUGCCACCCUAUUGCAACUAGGACAAACCAUGUUGAUAUAAGGAACUUCCUUCUAUUGUAUUGCAUAUCACAAAAAUAAAUGAGCUUCUCUUUCAGCCUCUAAAAUCAACAGUUAAACAAGUCUCAAAAACAGAAUAUGUACAUAUAAAGAGUAAACAAAGAGAGAAGCAGAACAAUAGUCACAACGCUCGUCUUCUGCCAGCUGAUUACUAAAUCAAAAGAUACACAUAAGAUAU
This is a long non-coding RNA of Camellia sinensis, 2919 nucleotides long. RefSeq lists it as uncharacterized. Lineage: Eukaryota; Viridiplantae; Streptophyta; Magnoliopsida; Ericales; Theaceae. The record is from RefSeq and is a predicted model, not a curated record.